Molecule: long non-coding RNA, 697 nt
Organism: Poecilia latipinna (sailfin molly)
Lineage: Eukaryota; Metazoa; Chordata; Actinopteri; Cyprinodontiformes; Poeciliidae
Exons: 3
Source: RefSeq, a predicted model, not a curated record
UUUACCUGUCAGAACAGACAUUCCUAACCAAGGUGUCCCGUCCAUCACUCUUCAACACGCUGUCAGCUCCCGGUCAGAAAGACGCAUUUAGUUCAGUGUCCAUGAGAUGAUAUUCAGAAAGGAUUUUUUUAUUGAAUGAUUUUAGUUGCCUCUGCAGUGAAAUCUUUGCGUAAAGUCCGUCAUGUCUCCAUAUGAACCAGUCAAAGGUGUUUAUAUAUAUAUAUAUAUAUAUAUAUAGAUGUGUGCACGUAAAUUUUGCCUUUUGCCCCCCCAGAGGUAGUCCUGGCCCCCCGUUAGCCCCCCCAACUUUAAAAGUCUGGCUCCGCCACUGUCUAGCACCACUAAAGUUUGACUGGAAUCUUGUCAAAUUCUCAGAUAUGAUCCAGAAUCCAAGACUUCCUGCAGCCUGUCCACAGCGGUUCUGUGUUCAGUCACAUUAGGUCAAACCCAUCAACCGCUCAGUCUCUGGGAUUUCAUACCUUCAUUUUGGUGUGGUUGUCAACCAGUGGAAAGAGUUUUACUGAAUCAUAUCUGACAAUUCAGCAAGUGCAAACUUGUAAGUUCAAUUCCAGCUUUCUCCAACGCCACGUCAAUGUUCCUUUGGGCCCAAGCCACGUGUUUCCUAACUUUUUACAUCUCCAGACGGUUUCUGUUCUCUGACCAUGAAGACCAGACCACUGGCAGGCCAGUGAGUGGA